Molecule: ribosomal RNA, 398 nt
Filed under: uncultured Treponema sp.
Lineage: Bacteria; Pseudomonadati; Spirochaetota; Spirochaetia; Treponematales; Treponemataceae
Description: bacterial SSU rRNA
Rfam family: Bacterial small subunit ribosomal RNA
Source: RNAcentral
UGGGGAAUAUUGGGCAAUGGGCGCAAGCCUGACCCAGCAACGCCGCGUGAAGGAAGAAGGCUUUCGGGUUGUAAACUUCUUUUGUCAGGGAAGAGAAGAAGACGGUACCUGGCGAAUAAGCCACGGCUAACUACGUGCCAGCAGCCGCGGUAACACGUAAGGUGCGAGCGUUGUUCGGAAUUAUUGGGCGUAAAGGGCAUGUAGGCGGACCUGCAAGCUUGGAGUGAAAUCCACGGGCUCAACCCGUGAACUGCUCCGGGAACUGCAGGACUCGAAUCGCUGAGGGGGAGCCGGAAUUCCAGGUGUAGGGGUGAAAUCUGUAGAUAUCUGGAAGAACACCAAUGGCGAAGGCAGGCUUCUAGCAGACGAUUGACGCUGAGGUGCGAAGGUGCGGGGGA